Nyctereutes procyonoides (raccoon dog) is the source of this 1689-nucleotide long non-coding RNA. RefSeq lists it as uncharacterized. Lineage: Eukaryota; Metazoa; Chordata; Mammalia; Carnivora; Canidae. The transcript has 3 exons. The record is from RefSeq and is a predicted model, not a curated record.
UAUAAUAUGUCCCUUCCAUGGAUAUAUGGAAGAAUGUUGUAAUAAUAACUGUACUUUGUCCUUAAUGCAUUUUUUCAAUUCCAGGCACUUUGCAAAUAAAUGCAUUAUUUAUUGUAUUUUAACCACUGCUGCCUCCCCCAUGAAAAGAAUUAUUGAAGUUAAUUGCUACCUAGGAUUAAAGUAAUGAAAUGAAGACGAAGCCCUUGCAAGCAUUCGUGAUCAACCAACAUAAAAUUUGCCUCAAACUUGAGAUAUUACUCCUGCAACAAGAGCCAUAAAGAAUGGCCGCACCAUUAUGCCUCUGUUCUCAGAAGGAGUGGACCAGACAGUGUGGGUGUAGAAGGAAAAUUCCAUAAGCACCUUUGGAUCAACUGCUCAAAGUUGUUGCACUACUUACUACUUGCAAGGGGUUAGUGGAGUCUUCUGCAUGAACAAGGAUAGUUGGCAUGAGUGAGAAUACAUCUCCAAGAGAGCAAGGAUCUCAGUCUGCACCAUUCACUGAUGUACACAGCAAAGAUCCAACCCGGGUGUCUAUGGCACAGCUGGUGUUCAACGACUAGCUGCUGAAUAAAUGAAUGAAUUUCUGCAUCUCAUAAUCCCUCUCUGCCAAAUUAUGGUCUUAAUUGAUAAAAUGAAUAUAACCUCUCUUUAUUGAAAGCUUACUACAUGCCACGCCCUGCCCUGGGCACUUUAUACCUCUUUUAAUGUCUCAAUGGCCUCCUGUGGACAAUGUUUUUGUCCUACUUUGCAAAUCAGAGGAAACCGAGACUUGGGCUAAGUGAACUGCCUAAACUCACACAACUGCCAAGAUGCAGAGCAAGGAUGAAUUCUAGUCUGCAGAACUGCCAAGCUGGCUCUCAAACACCAGCUUGCAUGCCCACUAUGUAGGAGGGCUCUGUGGACAACACCAGGCAAGAACAGAUUUUCCUGCACUCCAAGUCAGGGCUAGUAACCUCCCGGUGUCCAGUCAUCCCAUUGACCUUUACCAGCUCUCCUUCCUUCGUUGCACAUGGCAUGCUCACAGGAAGAAAAAUGGGGCUCCCCUCCUAGGUCCACCCGUGUCCCCACUUCCACCGCCUGGCACGGGCCUUGUCACAGCGUCCUGCUGGUUCACAUGGUGUUGAUUUGUCAGACACACUCCCUUCUUGAAGUCCAGAUGAAAUCAUGGCCUUCUUAGAAGCAUGGUUUAGGGGGGAAAGCUCGAGCUUUGGAAUCACAUGGUCCUGGAUUCAAAUGCUAUUUGUGUAUUUGUUACCUGUGGGACAUUUAAAUGCUAUUUGAUCCUUCUGGGCUUGGUUUUUUCCACUGGUUAAACGGAAAUACUGAUGCCUUGAGAAGUUAAAAACGAUUCUUACGCUAACCAUGCCCCUUCUCUUUCACAAGGAGACGCAAGGGACAAGCCAGCAUUCUUUUUCCCUGUCAGGAGGUGGAAGUAUAAAGAAAUGGCACUUAAGAUUUCCACAGCAAUUUGCCUCAUCUUGUUUGGGCCCUGCUUUGUGGGGGAUGGGACUCAGGAUGAGGAGAAAGGAAUUGGAGUCUUCUCUCUUCAAGCUCCUUCUGCCCUGAGGUGUGAACUUCCGGUGUGAGUGGUGCAGACAGUAGUGAGGGGAGAAGAGGGAAGGAAAACUUGGGGAGACUCACCCAGAUUGGGAGUUGCCACAAAACAACCAGAAGGGGGUUCUCUUUUUC